CUUUUUUUUUUUUUUCCUAGCAAAGAUAGAAUUAGCAUUGCUAAUUGAGGUUAUUUAGGUGUAUGAUGAUUUUGGUUGGUACCGGAAGUGAAAUUGUUCUCAUAUUAUCUGAUUAUGGCAUCCUUUUUAGUUGCAAGUGUUGAUUGAGUGCUAAAUUAGUUAUUAUAGGUUAGUGGUAAAUUUUUAAUGGGCUACGCUUCAGUCUAAAAUGAGAUUUAGGUUGUUAUUGUUUUCUGAGUGAACAGAUUAAUUUUUUAAUUGUUGUAAUUUUCUUGGAUAGAGCCAUUGUCAUCAAUCAAACAACUGGUCAAAUUAUUACUUCCCAGUAUUGGCACUAUAAAAAUCUACCCAAUUUUUGUAUAGCUAAAUGAAUUGUUAGGUUUCUUGUCAUAAUUGAGGUGUUGAUGCAUGUUGUACAGUUGUAGUCAUGAUGAAUGAAUUUUUAUGUUUUGCAUGUUGUAGGUAAUUCUAUAAUUCUCAAAUUUAUUAGUGUUUGAUGUGCAGAAAUGGAGCAAGGGAAAGCAAAAGGAGAAGGUGAACAAC
This 543-nucleotide unclassified non-coding RNA is filed under the name Hevea brasiliensis (rubber tree). Lineage: Eukaryota; Viridiplantae; Streptophyta; Magnoliopsida; Malpighiales; Euphorbiaceae. The record is from RNAcentral.